This is a long non-coding RNA of Salvia miltiorrhiza (redroot sage), 3794 nucleotides long. RefSeq lists it as uncharacterized. The record is from RefSeq and is a predicted model, not a curated record. The transcript has 3 exons. Lineage: Eukaryota; Viridiplantae; Streptophyta; Magnoliopsida; Lamiales; Lamiaceae.
GGAGGAGAUGAUAAUGAAGAUCUCUAAAUACUAAAAUGGUAUUCCUGGUUACAAUUACAACUUGCAUAUAUGAGGCAAUCAUUUAAUAAAUAUCGAAUAUAAACCGACUGGAAGUCCCUAUUUCCGAUUCUUGCCUACAAUUUAUCAAGAAUUUUCUCAUGCAACCCUUUGAUGCAGAAUAACUCUGCCUCUAUAUGUUUGAUUUAUCUAGAAUCUAGGUCUGAUUGAAUGUGAAUCACUAGCAUAAUCAUGUUAACUUGAAUAAGUUUCCAAACUGGCUUGUUGAAUGCAGUUUCAGAAGAAUAAAAUUCUUGAUUAUGGGGUUUGAUCAAAAGCAGACUGAGCUUGAAAACAGGCCACAACAAUAAUUUUGUGCAAAUGUGGUAUUUACACAAACUGCUAUUAGUCAAAGCUGUAGGUUGAAGAUGAUAUUCCAAGAGAGGACGCAAACGUUGCUGUGGUGUCUCCGUUGAGGUACCUCUUGAGGCGAUCCAGAUCAUCAGCGCAGUCGAGCAUUGUAGGCCGUGUGGAGGGAGAGUCCUGUGUGCAGAGCAAGCCAAGCUCCAUCAGCUCUACAAUGGCCACUUCCCACAUUCUCUUCACCUCAUCCGAUUGGUCCCUCAGCGUCCUCAGCAACGUCAUGUCCACCACGCAUUCAGCUUGGCUAUGGAAGUGGCUCUUCACGUAGCUCUGCAGGCUUAGCCCUCCAACAAACAUGUCAUCUGUUGGCCUCUUUCUCGUCACCAUCUCCAAAACCAGAACUCCAAAGCUGUAAACAUCCCCCCUCGUUGAUGUACUCGAUCCAUAUCCAUACUCUUGCAGGCAAAAGAGAUCCAUACCUGGUGCAAUGUAUCCAAUUGACCCGCUUAGCAUAUUGGCCGUGGAGUUGCCCAUAUUCUCAAUAACUCCGGCACCAUUUCCUGCUCCAAUGGCGAUCAGCCUCGCUAUCCCAAAAUCAGAGACUAAAGCAGUCAUGUCGUUGUUGAGAAGAACGUUGCUAGGCUUGAGGUCACAGUGUACGACCUUAACCGGGGAGUGAUGGUGCAGAUAAGCCAUUCCUUCUGCAAUGUCACUGCAGAUGUUGACCCUCUGAAGCAGGCUCAGAUCAGAGGAGCCUGAUCUGAGGCCGUCUGCUGCGUGCAGAUACAGACGGCUAUCCAAGCUUCCAUUCGCCAUGUAGGGCAAGACAAGGGCCUUAAAGUCCGGCAAGCUGCACGCUGUGAUGAUCCGUAUCAGAUUCCUGUGGCGGAUCCUCUUCAACACUUGGCAUUCUCGGGUGAAGCUCUUGGUGGAGUUCCCCGUCUGCAGAUGUAGAACCUUGACUGCUAUCUGUGCGCCGUCUGGGAGAACUCCCCUGUAGACACGGCCAUAGCUUCCGGAGCCAACUAGCCUCUGCUCAUCAAAUCCAUCAGUAGCAUCUAACAGCUCCUUGUAGGAUAUUCUUGGAAAAUUGUGAGUCAAGUCCAGUUCUUGAUUUCUUACCUGCCCAGCUGGAUUGGAAGACAUGAUGAAAGUUCUCAAUCGCCGGCAUCCCAUCACACAGCAGAUUAUUGUGCAUAUUCCUGAUAUAAAUAUGACAAUGCAGAAGAUGAUCACGAAGAUGAGAGAGUGGAAGAAGCGCUGCCUUCUGCUGCAGACUGGAAUACGCGGAAUUCGCCCACAGAGAUGUUGGUUGCCAGUGAAGGACAGAUACGUCAUAGAAUCAAAUGCACCUCCUGUGGGAAUGCUUCCAUCAAAGUUGUUGAAUGCAAGAUUCAAGAAGGUCAGCGUGCUGAUCUUGUUCAAGCUCUCGGGGAUCUUUCCCACCAACUUGUUUCUAGAAACAUCAAAAGCCACGAGGCUCUUGAGACCGCCUAGUGAUUCGGGGAGAUGCCCUUGUAGAGAAUUGUUGGACAGGUUUAGCAUCUUCAGCUCCAAGCAACUUGAUAUCUGGUCAAAGAUGUUCCCACUGAAGAAGUUUGAUGACAAGUCAAUUUCUUCGACUGCUGAGAGCUUGCUGAGCUCCAUUGCCCCUAUGAGUUGGUUGUGAGACAGAUUGAGAAACCUACGCAUUUCGUGGAAUCCUGAUAGCUCCGGAGGUACAUUUCCUGUCAGUUGGUUGUAAGAGAGGUCCAGCGCUUGUAGGGCCGUGCAGCUCCCUAAGCUCGGAGGUAUCUCCCCUGAGAGAAGGUUGUUGUUGAGGAACAGAAAACGUAGUUCUGCCAUAUUUCUGAGUUCUUCAGGAAUCUGACCCGACAAAUUGUUAUGCGAAAGAUCCACCAAACCAAGAGAUGAUAGGUUUCCUAAUGGAGUUAGAAUUGUGGUGAAGAAGUUGAAAGACAGGCAAAGCUGUUCCAAAUGUUUCAGCUUGCCUAUUUCUGCAGGAAUAGUGCCAGUGAAAAGCUGCAGCUCCCCAAAAUAUCCGCCUAGUCCUCCAAUGGAGCUCGGGAGCCUCCCACCAAGCCCAUUGCUCGCCAGCUGCAGCUCAGCUAGCUCGGUGCAGUUUGCCAGUGCGGUGAAAAAUGGGUCAAGAUUAGAGUUGUUGCUGUGACUAAUCAUAUUGUUGUUUGACAAAUGAAGAUACCACAUCUUGUGGAGCUUUGCCAGCAUCUCCGAGGGUAGCUCACCAGAAAGAUUGUUGCACUCGACAUCCAGAUUGAAGAGCCGUGUGGCGUUCCCUAAAGAGAUGGGGAUUUUGCCGUGGAGCUUAUUGUUGUAUAAAUUUACAGCCAAUAGGUGAGGACAGUUGCCGAUUUCUGCUGGGAUCGUCCCUGUUAGCUGGUUACCUGAAAAAUCGACUACUUUGAGCUUCGUGCAGUUGGAGAAGAAUGAUGAUGGGAUUUCUCCACUCAAGUUGUUGUAGUCCAGAGUGAUCAAGGUGAGAUGGGAGAGUGAGGACAGAGAGUGUGGAAUAUGGCCAUGCAAGUCGUUGCUUCCGAGUUUGAGUUCUUGAAUGUAUCUAAGGGAUGAGAAUUCUUGAGGUAUGGUGCCAAAGAAAUGGUUGUUGGAAAGGGACAGGUUCCGGAGUUGGGUUAGAUUUGAAAGCACAGGAGACAGCAGUCCCGAGAGGGCAUUGUUGUUGAGGUUCAAAUCCACCACGCGAUGAUGCAGCUUUCCGCAUUUCACACUCGUGAAGUUGCACACGUCGUUGUGUUCGUUCCAGUUUGCAAGGCUUGAAUAGGGAUCCGAUGACAAGCCAUUCUUGAAUGCCAAGAGCGCAGCUCUAUCAGUAUGGAUCGAGCGAUGCACGAGUGGAUGAUGACCCUGCCCGAGUAGUAGAACGAAACACUGCAACAGGGAGAUUGUGAGUAUCAAGAUCUUGAAAAACAUGAUGCUCUGUGGUGGCUUCGUUGCUCCAACGGGGGGAGAACUAGGCGUUGAACAUGUGAGAGAUUGCAAGGUCUUUUGUGAUGAACAGCUUCAAGGGGCACUCUGAAUAUUUGUGUAGAUUCCUUGCCUUAGAUGGGUGAGUGUGAGGGUGGAAAUGCAUACUAGAGUUCAAAUGAAGCAUGAUUUAUGGAGGGACUAUGCCAAAAGUUGUUGGUUUAUUGCAAAUGGUGACUGGAUUUUCAACUGAGAUGGAUGUCGAUUAUGAUGAUCUUAGACCUUGGCUGAUGUAACAGCAUGCUGCAGCUCAAGUGGGAAGAUAAAUAUUUGGUGUUCUGAUUUCUGAGUAAGCUCUGUUUUGCCCUUGUCUAGAUUUCUUGAUUAUUUUUGCUUGCUCCUGGGGAUUUCUUAAUUUGAACUCAAUAUUGCGCCGUUUUUAUAAAGAAAACUUGGAUAUUGCAUUUGAAAUCUAAUUAAGGUUGCAUUAC